AGCAUGGUCUUAGCUUGCUAAGACCGAUGGCGACCGGCGCACGGGUGAGUAACACGUAUCCCACCUGCCGUCUACUCUUGGACAGCCUUCUGAAAGGAAGAUUAAUACAAGAUGGCAUCAUGAGUCCGCAUGUUCACAUGAUUAAAGGUAUUCCGGUAGACGAUGGGGAUGCGUUCCAUUAGAUAGUAGGCGGGGUAACGGCCCACCUAGUCUUCGAUGGAUAGGGGUUCUGAGAGGAAGGUCCCCCACAUUGGAACUGAGACACGGUCCAAACUCCUACGGGAGGCAGCAGUGAGGAAUAUUGGUCAAUGGGCGCAGGCCUGAACCAGCCAAGUAGCGUGAAGGAUGACUGCCCUAUGGGUUGUAAACUUCUUUUAUAAAGGAAUAAAGUCGGGUAUGUAUACCCGUUUGCAUGUACUUUAUGAAUAAGGAUCGGCUAACUCCGUGCCAGCAGCCGCGGUAAUACGGAGGAUCCGAGCGUUAUCCGGAUUUAUUGGGUUUAAAGGGAGCGUAGAUGGAUGUUUAAGUCAGUUGUGAAAGUUUGCGGCUCAACCGUAAAAUUGCAGUUGAUACUGGAUAUCUUGAGUGCAGUUGAGGCAGGCGGAAUUCGUGGUGUAGCGGUGAAAUGCUUAGAUAUCACGAAGAACUCCGAUUG
RNAcentral lists this ribosomal RNA (655 nucleotides) under uncultured Bacteroides sp. RNAcentral describes it as "bacterial SSU rRNA". It matches the Rfam family "Bacterial small subunit ribosomal RNA", at positions 68 to 715 of the family's 1533-position model. Lineage: Bacteria; Pseudomonadati; Bacteroidota; Bacteroidia; Bacteroidales; Bacteroidaceae. The record is from RNAcentral.